GUGGGGGGGCUGGAGCUGUGGUGGGGCUGCCUCCCACCUCCUGAUCCCACUGCCCCCCCCACGUGGUUUCCGUCCUGGGGGGUUGGGACACUUUGGGUUUAUUGGUUUUGGGAGAAAACCUAUUCCAGACUUCUCCAUUCUCGCUCAUCCCCUGCAGGAUCUGAGGCGGCAAGAGCAGCUUGGGAAUGGAGCCCCAGGCAGGAAGCAGCUCCCAAACUCCUCCGUGCAGCCAGUGGCCAUCUGAGUGUGGGGCCAGGCCACACCACAGCCCCACUGCGCAGGGAUGGGCAUUGGCCAGCCCUGCUCUGGCCAGCCCCAGGGGCAGCCAGGACCUGAGGGUCCCCCCUGCCCCCUGGGCUUUGACUCUCGCAGCUUUAGAGCUGCUGCAAGCUUCCUGUGCAGUGCUCCCAGGAUGGACAGAGUUGCUCCCUUUUGGCAGCAGAACCCAUGGGAAGUCAAUCAAGUCUCAGGGUGGCAAUGAGAAAAAUGGGAAGAGUUCCUAAAUAUGGCCCAAGAAAAGCCAUCCUUGUGGGCUGGGUUGCUGCCCAGCAGACAGGGAACAAUCCCAUGCACCUGUUGGACACUCAGGGAGAUUUCCCACUCCGUGUUACCCACAGGCAAACGCGGCUGUGGGAUGCACCAAUGGGCUCCAAAAGGGAACCAAAAAGUCUCAUUUCUUUGUGAUUUGUUUGGGUUUUUAUUGUGAGAGACCUGUUGGGAGACCAACGAUUAAAAGGAUUCUAUAAACCAGA
Molecule: long non-coding RNA, 752 nt
Organism: Corvus hawaiiensis (hawaiian crow)
Lineage: Eukaryota; Metazoa; Chordata; Aves; Passeriformes; Corvidae
Exons: 2
Source: RefSeq, a predicted model, not a curated record